UUCCGGAUGAGUUGCGAACGGGUGAGUAACGCGUAGGUAACCUGCCUGGUAGCGGGGGAUAACUAUUGGAAACGAUAGCUAAUACCGCAUGACAACAGUUAUUGCAUGAUAGCUGUUUAAAAGGGGCAACUGCUCCACUACCAGAUGGACCUGCGUUGUAUUAGCUAGUUGGUGAGGUAACGGCUCACCAAGGCGACGAUACAUAGCCGACCUGAGAGGGUGAUCGGCCACACUGGGACUGAGACACGGCCCAGACUCCUACGGGAGGCAGCAGUAGGGAAUCUUCGGCAAUGGACGGAAGUCUGACCGAGCAACGCCGCGUGAGUGAAGAAGGUUUUCGGAUCGUAAAGCUCUGUUGUAAGAGAAGAACGAGUGUGAGAGUGGAAAGUUCACACUGUGACGGUAUCUUACCAGAAAGGGACGGCUAACUACGUGCCAGCAGCCGCGGUAAUACGUAGGUCCCGAGCGUUGUCCGGAUUUAUUGGGCGUAAAGCGAGCGCAGGCGGUUAGAUAAGUCUGAAGUUAAAGGCUGUGGCUUAACCA
Molecule: ribosomal RNA, 543 nt
Filed under: uncultured Bacilli bacterium
Lineage: Bacteria; Bacillati; Bacillota; Bacilli
Description: bacterial SSU rRNA
Rfam family: Bacterial small subunit ribosomal RNA
Source: RNAcentral